Molecule: transfer RNA, 82 nt
Filed under: Coccomyxa subellipsoidea C-169
Lineage: Eukaryota; Viridiplantae; Chlorophyta; Trebouxiophyceae; Coccomyxaceae
Rfam family: tRNA
About the family: Transfer RNA (tRNA) molecules are approximately 80 nucleotides in length. Their secondary structure includes four short double-helical elements and three loops (D, anti-codon, and T loops).
Source: Rfam by way of RNAcentral
GCUCACUUGGUGAAAUAGGUAGACACGACAGACUUAAAAUCUGUUCCCGCAAGGGGCAUCGGUUCAAGUCCGAUAGUGAGCA